GCGAUUCGGCAUGAUCUGAUUUAUUGAUUUUCUUGUUUUGUUUAAUUUGUUAUGUAUUUAAUUUAUCUGAAGAAUCUCUUUGUUGUUGUAUAUUUGUGAUUUAAUUUUUUAUGCUAUAGAUUACUUGUACCGUAUGGGUAUGAUUUUUGUUUAGUUUAUUUUUAAAAGCUGAUUUUAUUUAUUGUACCUUGUGUAUCAGGGUUCAUUGAAUUUUAUUAUUUAUUUUUAUUUCCCGAUUUUGAAGGAGUUAAUUGUUUAUUUUAGUUAUUGUUUCAUCAAUAUUAAUAAUAGGCUGUUGGUAGUGAAAUGUUAUUCGUCUUUAAAGGUUUCUGGUUUUCCUAGAAAUGAAUUCAAUUCAUGCUCUUUAUUUAAUUUUUACUUUUAUUUUAUUUUUUUUAAUUUGGUGUUAAGAUUAAGGGGGAUUAGCUCCUUAUUUUAUUUUUAUAAUUUUUUGUUCUAUUUAGUUUUGUGGAUUUUAUGGUGAUUUUCAAUUUGAUUAUGUUAAAAUUUUAUUUACCUUUUUGUUUAUUUUCCUUUAAUUUAAUUUGUUUAUUGGAAUUUCUUCUUUAAUUUUUUGUUUGAUUAGAAAUUAUUGUGUAAUUAGUAAAUUUUAUUUUAUUUUUGUUUAUUUUGUGUGAAAUUCUUUUGAGGAAUUCGGCAAAGUUUCAUGUCCGCCUGUUUAACAAAAACAUCUCUUCUUGUUAGUUUUUGAAGUAUGGCCUGCCCACUGACUUUAAGUUGAAGGGCCGCGGUAUUUUGACCGUGCAAAGGUAGCAUAAUCAUUAGUUCUUUAAUUGUGAUCUGGUAUGAAUGGUUUGACGAGGCAUGUACUGUCUUAGGUGUUUAGAAUAAUUUUAUUGAAUUUGGUCUUUGAGUUAAAAUUCUUAAAUGUUUUUAUGGGACGAGAAGACCCUAUAGAGUUUAACAUUUUAUUUUCUUUGUAUUUUGUUUGUUUAUUUUUAUUAAGUGAUUUGAGUGUUUUGUUGGGGUGAUGGGAGGAAAUUAUUUAACUCCUCUUUGUUUUUUAUAUUUAUUUAUAUUUUUUUGAUCCAUUUAUUUUGAUUAUAAGAUUAAAUUACCUUAGGGAUAACAGCGUUAUCUUCCUUGAGAGUUCUUAUUGGCGGGGAGGUUUGCGACCUCGAUGUUGGAUUAAGGUUAAUUUUUGGUGUAGGAGCUGAAAGUGAUUGGGUCUGUUCGACCUUUAAAAUCUUACAUGAUCUGAGUUCAGACCGGCGUGAGCCAGGUUGGUUUCUAUCUAUAAUACUAUUUUAUACCUUAGUACGAGAGGACCGGGUAUUUGGAAUAAUUUUGUUUUUGUGAUUAUUAUUAAUGUUGUUUACUAUUUUGGCAGAUAAGUGCAUUGGAUUUAGAAUCUA
RNAcentral lists this ribosomal RNA (1376 nucleotides) under Anoplotermes janus. RNAcentral describes it as "16S ribosomal RNA". The stretch from base 1086 to 1246 matches the Rfam family "Archaeal large subunit ribosomal RNA", at positions 2542 to 2701 of the family's 2987-position model. The record is from RNAcentral. Lineage: Eukaryota; Metazoa; Arthropoda; Insecta; Blattodea; Termitidae.